CCUCCCUCCCCCUCCGUGGUGGCGGCACAGCAGAGUACAAAAUUGGAGGCUGUCGUGGUUCAGUGGUAGGUUGUGCAAGUACUCAAAUAGUUGCCUUAUUUCUCCUUCUGCUAAUAAAUGUGAUAAUGGACAACCUUGGUACAUAGGGAAAAUGAGAGGCAAAGGCCAGACCCCUAUUAUGCACAUCAUACUUAGAUUUCUGUAAUUCGUCAUGAAUGCUUAUUGUGCAAGGUUUUAUAUUUCUAUAUUUGUUCUUUGACAUAUGGAAGUUACACUUGUGAGUAAUUGGGUCAUAGAACAUUGAUUUGAUUUAUCUUCUGUCGGUAAGCAUUGUCCUGUAACAAACAUUUAGUAAGGGCAUAUAUAAUCGAGGGAUAAGCAAUCUAUGAUA
RNAcentral lists this ribosomal RNA (391 nucleotides) under Triticum aestivum (bread wheat). RNAcentral describes it as "partial small subunit ribosomal RNA". The record is from RNAcentral. Lineage: Eukaryota; Viridiplantae; Streptophyta; Magnoliopsida; Poales; Poaceae.